GGGCUUGACAUCCCACGAACCUGAUAGAGAUAUCGGGGUGCCGCAAGGAGCGCAGAGACAGGUGCUGCAUGGCUGUCGUCAGCUCGUGUCGUGAGAUGUUGGGUUAAGUCCCGCAACGAGCGCAACCCUUGUCUUCUGUUGCCAUCAGGUUAAGCUGGGCACUCUGAAGAGACUGCCGGUGACAAACCGGAGGAAGGUGGGGAUGACGUCAAGUCAGCAUGGCCUUUAUGUCUGGGGCCACACACGUGCUACAAUGGCCGGCACAAACCGUCGCGAGCCCGCAAGGGGGAGCUAAUCGGACAAAGCCGGUCUCAGUUCGGAUUGUAGGCUGCAACUCGCCUGCAUGAAGUUGGAAUCGCUAGUAAUCGCGGAUCAGCACGCCGCGGUGAAUACGUUCCCGGGCCUUGUACACACCGCCCGUCACAUCACGAAAGCUGGCUGUACUCGAAGUCGCUGAG
Molecule: ribosomal RNA, 458 nt
Filed under: uncultured bacterium
Lineage: Bacteria
Description: bacterial SSU rRNA
Rfam family: Bacterial small subunit ribosomal RNA
Source: RNAcentral